RNAcentral lists this ribosomal RNA (394 nucleotides) under uncultured bacterium. Its description in RNAcentral is "bacterial SSU rRNA". It matches the Rfam family "Bacterial small subunit ribosomal RNA", at positions 30 to 410 of the family's 1533-position model. The record is from RNAcentral.
AGUGAACGCUGGCGGCAGGCCUAACACAUGCAAGUCGAGCGGCAGCGCGUCCGACCACCCUCGGGUGGUCGGAUGGCGGCGAGCGGCGGACGGGUGAAGAAUGCAUCGGAAUCUGCCUCGUUGUGGGGGAUAACGUAGGGAAACUUACGCUAAUACCGCAUACGACCUACGGGUGAAAGUGGGGGACCUUCGGGCCUCACGCGAUGAGAUGAGCCGAUGCCGGAUUAGCUAGUUGGCGGGGUAAAGGCCCACCAAGGCGACGAUCCGUAGCUGGUCUGAGAGGAUGAUCAGCCACACUGGAACUGAGACACGGUCCAGACUCCUACGGGAGGCAGCAGUGGGGAAUAUUGGACAAUGGGGGCAACCCUGAUCCAGCCAUGCCGCGUGUGUGAAG